RNAcentral lists this microRNA precursor (451 nucleotides) under Amborella trichopoda. RNAcentral's name for it is "miR8552a stem-loop (atr-MIR8552a)". Lineage: Eukaryota; Viridiplantae; Streptophyta; Magnoliopsida; Amborellales; Amborellaceae. The record is from miRBase by way of RNAcentral.
GCUGAGAUUAGCCUACUAGCUCAUGUGAAUAUAUGAGCCCAACGACCUAGAUUGAAUCUGGAUUGAUCUGACGGUCAUGACCUCAUUUUGUAUUUGAAUUUUAAUAAUUUUUGUACGAAUCAAAAUAACUUGAAAUCUUAGGUGUGUGUUCUUCAAAAAUAGGAUAAUCUACUAAAAAUAUCAAAAAAAUAAUUUUCAAGUAAUAAAUUGAUCAAAAUACUCUCGAAACGUUUCAAGGGUAUUUUGGUCUUUUUUAUGAAUUAUUUUUAAAAUAUUUUUAUUAGGUGCGUCUUGAUGAUAAGAAUGGACACUUAAAAUUUUGAAUUAUUUGGAUGUGUAAAAAAAAAAAUCAAAAUUCAAACACGAAAUGAGGUCGUGACCGUCAGAUCAGGCUAGAUUAAUCUGGGUUGUUAGGCUCUAUGUUCAUAUGAGCUAGUGGGCUAAUUUCAGC